This 429-nucleotide ribosomal RNA is filed under the name Bacillota bacterium. RNAcentral describes it as "Firmicutes bacterium partial 16S ribosomal RNA". It matches the Rfam family "Bacterial small subunit ribosomal RNA", at positions 355 to 776 of the family's 1533-position model. Lineage: Bacteria; Bacillati; Bacillota. The record is from RNAcentral.
UGGGGAAUUUUGGACAAUGGGCGAAAGCCUGAUCCAGCAAUGCCGCGUGUGUGAAGAAGGCCUUCGGGUUGUAAAGCACUUUUGUCCGGAAAGAAAUGGCUCUGGUUAAUACCUGGGGUCGAUGACGGUACCGGAAGAAUAUGGACCGGCUAACUACGUGCCAGCAGCCGCGGUAAUACGUAGGGUCCAAGCGUUAAUCGGAAUUACUGGGCGUAAAGCGUGCGCAGGCGGUUGUGCAAGACCGAUGUGAAAUCCCCGAGCUUAACUUGGGAAUUGCAUUGGUGACUGCACGGCUAGAGUGUGUAAGAGGGGGGUAGAAUUCCACGUGUAGCAGUGAAAUGCGUAGAGAUGUGGAGGAAUACCGAUGGCGAAGGCAGCCCCCUGGGAUAACACUGACGCUCAUGCACGAAAGCGUGGGGAGCAAACAGG